UACGUAGGGUGCAAGCGUUGUCCGGAAUUAUUGGGCGUAAAGAGCUCGUAGGCGGUUUGUCGCGUCUGCUGUGAAAACCCGAGGCUCAACCUCGGACCUGCAGUGGGUACGGGCAGACUAGAGUGAUGUAGGGGAGAUUGGAAUUCCUGGUGUAGCGGUGGAAUGCGCAGAUAUCAGGAGGAACACCAAUGGCGAAGGCAGAUCUCUGGGCCGUAACUGACGCUGAGGAUCGAAAGCAUGGGGAGCGAACAGG
This 253-nucleotide ribosomal RNA is filed under the name uncultured bacterium. RNAcentral describes it as "partial 16S ribosomal RNA". It matches the Rfam family "Bacterial small subunit ribosomal RNA", at positions 524 to 776 of the family's 1533-position model. The record is from RNAcentral.